This 1014-nucleotide long non-coding RNA is filed under the name Canis lupus familiaris (dog). RNAcentral's name for it is "lncRNA (ENSCAFG00040014840.1)". Lineage: Eukaryota; Metazoa; Chordata; Mammalia; Carnivora; Canidae. The record is from RNAcentral.
AUGCUGGCAGUGGUAGGUCACCCAGGAUCCUCACAGGACUGGGGCAGAGGGUGGACGGGCUCUCCCUCCUCCAUUGAGGACUCCGCCCUAGUGGUGGGUUACUCCUCCUCUCUCCCCAGCCCUCUCCCUGCACAGCACUCCUCCUCUCCCUGCACUCCACUCCUCCUCUCUCCCCCCCUCUUCUCCAAACUUCGGCCACCCUGGGUGACCUGGCCAGCAAGUCCCCAGGCCAGGUGUGCAAUGCUAGGAGUGGAGGGCAAUCCGCAGGUACCCUGGAGGAUUGGAAGGGGGGGAGCAGAAGAGCAAAGGAAAGGAAGUGGAGGGGAAGGGGUAGGAGGGAGGAGGGAGAAGGAGGUGGAGGAGAGGAAGGAGGAGGGGAGAGGAGAGAAAGAGGUCGGAUGGAAAAGUAGAGGGGGAGAGGAAGGGAGAGGGUGGAGGGAGAGGAGGGGAAGGGAGGGGGAGAGAACGGAGGAGGGGGGAGGGGAGGGGGAGGGGUGGGGGGCUGAAAUCUCCCGCAACAUCAAAGCCUUCCCAGCCGCAGAGCACAGUCACGUGCCAGCGGCCUCGUCGCUCAUUCCUUCGCUGGGAGAAGCCGCUGGGCCUGGGGCUGCUGAAGGAAUUUUAAAACGAGGCAGAUUGCCUGGAAUAUUGGGGGGCGGGGGGCAGGCAGCAGAGAGCUUCAUCUCCUGGCGGGUUUUGAAGCCUUUCCCUCCCAGAAGCAUGUUGGGGCACAGGGGGCCCCUGGUCAGCGCCGGGCAGGUGGCCAAGAGCGAGGACCACCCAGCUACUUGGAGCCCACUGGUGGGAGGCUUGGGCAGGGCCAGCCCCCUUAUCAGGAGAAGCUGGAAAUCUGGAUUUUAUGGAAAGCUUCCCCUUUUCAAUACUGGCUUAAGUGGGGGAAAAAAGAGCGAAAGAGAGAGAGAGAGAGAGAGAGAGAGAGAAAGAAAAGAGAAAAAAAGGCAAAGCAAAAACCACCACAUGGGCCAGACACAGCGUGUCCUGAUUUGGACCUAG